This 385-nucleotide ribosomal RNA is filed under the name uncultured bacterium. RNAcentral's name for it is "bacterial SSU rRNA". It matches the Rfam family "Bacterial small subunit ribosomal RNA", at positions 28 to 414 of the family's 1533-position model. The record is from RNAcentral.
GACGAACGCUGGCGGCGUGCUUAACACAUGCAAGUCGAGCGGUAAGGCCCUUUCGGGGGUACACGAGCGGCGAACGGGUGAGUAACACGUGGGUGACCUGCCUUUAGCUCUGGGAUAAGCCUGGGAAACUGGGUCUAAUACCGGAUAUGACUCCGCGGUGCAUGCUGUGGGGUGGAAAGCCUUGUGCGGCUGGAGAUGGGCCCGNGGCCUAUCAGCUUGUUGGUGGGGUGAUGGCCUACCAAGGCGACGACGGUAGCCGGCCUGAGAGGGCGACCGGCCACACUGGGACUGAGGACACGGCCCAGACUCCUACGGGAGGCAGCAGUGGGGAAUCUUGCGCAAUGGGCGAAAGCCUGACGCAGCGACGCCGCGUGAGGGAUGACGG